Erythranthe guttata (spotted monkey flower) is the source of this 1326-nucleotide non-coding RNA. Lineage: Eukaryota; Viridiplantae; Streptophyta; Magnoliopsida; Lamiales; Phrymaceae. The record is from RefSeq and is a predicted model, not a curated record.
UAUAUGUAUAUAUGUCUUCACAUGAAGGCAGCUUUCUACAGAAGAAUUAAUUAUGAAAAUGCAUGUUUUCAUGUGCUUGAAACUAUUUACUCUGUAUUUAUUGUUUAAUACUUCAUCUACCGGAGCAGUGAUAAACCUACCGGAAAACACUAGUAUUCCGGCGGUGAUAUUUUUCGGAGAUUCCAUAACUGAUACCGGCAAUAAUAAUUAUAUUCCGACUUUAGCUAAAGCCAAUUUCCCCCCUUACGGCGAGAAUUUCAUCGGGCGAAAUCCCACCGGAAGAUUUUCCAACGGAAAAAUCGUACCGGACUUUAUUGCCGAAGAGUUGGGAAUUAAACCGCUUUCGCCUCCAUUUCUCGAUCCAUCUCUUCGAGAUCAAGAUCUUUUGACCGGGGUCAACUUUGCGUCUGCGGGUUCAGGAUAUGACCCUUUAACCUCAGAUCUCCUGUGGGUGUUGUCGCUAUCGGACCAAUUAGAAAUGUUUAAAGACUAUAUAGUAAGGCUGUAAAAGAUUCGUCGGAGAUGAAAGAUCGUCCGAUAUUUUGAAAGAAAGUAUAAUUGCAGUGUCUAGUGGCAGUAAUGACAUUUGGAAUACGUAUUCUAACGUAAGACAAUUUCAGUACGACGUUCCUUCGUAUACUGACCUCCUAGUUCGUUACGCUUCCACUUUUGUGCAGGACUUGUACGGAUUGGGGGCACGUAGAAUUGGCGUUUUCAGCAUGCUACCGAUCGGAUGUCUGCCGUCACAAAGAACUCAAAAGGGAGGACUCGGAAGAAAAUGCGUGGACGAAUAUAAUCGAAUAGUGCAAUUAUUCAACGACAAACUAUCGGCCGAAAUAACCUUUCUCAACACACAAUUCCGUGAUGCAAGGAUCGUCUACGUAGAUUUUUACAAUCUUCCUCUUGAUAUCAUUCGCCACCCACAUAAAUACGGAUUCAAGAUCUCCAGUAAGGGAUGCUGCGGAACGGGCACAUUUGAGGCAUCGAUUCUUUGCAGAUAUGCAUGUUCGAAUGUGGAUGAUUAUGUGUUUUGGGACGGUUUUCACCCGACGGAAAAAACGUACCAGAUUCUGGCACGUCAAGUUGUCGAGGAAUACAUUCAUUACUUCAUAUGUGGAAAGGCAAUUUGUUGAUUUAUAUAUAUAUAUAUACACAUUUAAUGAGAUAUUUAUUUAUUUUGCACUUUGUAUGCUCGAAAUUAGAUUGAUGUAUACAUGAAAUAAUUAUUCGAUUCGAACUUUGCAACAACAAAAAAGAAAAAUCCACUAGAAAGACGAUGAUGCCCUCUUUUAAUUCUUAUCAAAUACGAGGUCUAUUGUGGAUGAU